Molecule: ribosomal RNA, 253 nt
Filed under: uncultured bacterium
Lineage: Bacteria
Description: partial 16S ribosomal RNA
Rfam family: Bacterial small subunit ribosomal RNA
Source: RNAcentral
GACGGAGGAUGCAAGUGUUAUCCGGAAUCACUGGGCGUAAAGCGUCUGUAGGUGGUUUAAUAAGUCAACUGUUAAAUCUUGAGGCUCAACUUCAAAAUCGCAGUCGAAACUAUUAGACUAGAGUAUAGUAGGGGUAAAGGGAAUUUCCAGUGGAGCGGUGAAAUGCGUAGAGAUCGGAAAGAACACCAACGGCGAAAGCACUCUGCUGGGCCGACACUGACACUGAGAGACGAAAGCUAGGGGAGCGAAUGGG